Brienomyrus brachyistius is the source of this 1176-nucleotide long non-coding RNA. RefSeq lists it as uncharacterized. The transcript is spliced from 2 exons. NCBI's taxonomy places the organism in Eukaryota, Metazoa, Chordata, Actinopteri, Osteoglossiformes, Mormyridae. The record is from RefSeq and is a predicted model, not a curated record.
ACCAGAGUGGUAGAGGAACUGAGGCUACGCCUUGGCGCCAUUUUCAAAUUGUGUCGUGUCAGAGACUGAUAACCAGGAUUGAAAAACACAUACAAUAAUUUUCUUAAAUAUGUGUUCUAAUACAUCCAGACGAAAAAUAUUUCUCAUAAAUUCUUACUUUUUGGCGUGAUUUUGGAUGCAUGGUCCUUUAACCCAAAGCUUCCCAGCAGCCUCACUCAGCUGCAACAGAGCAGGAGCAGCACACCACUGGACGUCUGCUUUCUGAAGUGGAGAAGGAAGGAAUGGGGCCAGGGGGACUGACAGGAGGUGGUAGGGUUGGGCCCGGGAAAAGGGGGGUUAGGGACGAAGUAUUAGGCUUGCCCCCCCAAAUCAGAAAAGGAAACCCUAAGCUUUGCUGGACGGUCUCUCUGCUACUCCAUCUGGACUGGGAAGCCCUAUUGUUUUGUUAAGUUCAUUUAAAUUUUUUAUUAUUUCCAUUGGUUAAUAUUAUUAUUUAUUUAUUCAAGCUUUUAGCAAAAUAAUGGUACAUAUUUAUCUAUUGAUUUAUAAAUUAUGAUGACUUGUUCUUCGCUCAGCAAAGAUAGGUUGGUUAUUAUUAGAGCUUAUUGUUAGUUAUUUUGAGUAGUGUAUGUAGUAUGCUGUUAAAACGUGAUGAAUUAAGAGAAAGGGGUACAUUAAGCAUAAUAUCGAGACUGGCUUUUUGAAAUGAAAAUUAAGUUAAGGAAAAUGUUUUAUUUUACUGUUCUGACAAAGUGCAUGACAGAUUGGUUGGACCCUGCUGGUUUUGUGCUAAGAGUAAUUGGCUGUUUUCCUCUUCUAUUCCUGUUUUAUCUUUUGCUGAUAAUGUGAAAAAGGACCAGAGGUAAGUGACGAUCUUUAUUUCCUUCCUGUUUCCCCAUAUGUUAGCUCAAAGAGCUACAGGGCCAGAUUAUGGGAGAAGGCCAGUCAGUGGUAAUUUUUAAUCUAAUCCAUCUUUUUCCCCUCUUCAUUAUAAUUUUUUUCUUGUGGUUACAGGCAUCUAGUUAACACAUAUACUACAACAGUGCUAACUUGAUAACUACAGUAGAAAACCAAGCAUAAAAACGAACUCUGUCAUUUUCAGCCUUGCACUGUAGCUUUAAAAAAUUCAUGGUUGGGCCUGUUCUUUUGUAGAUAACUAAUAAAUGGGUUUUUACA